GAUUUCUGGCUUGGCGCGCGCGGUCCGCUGCGGUUUCGUGGUGUGUACCGUUGUGCGCCUGCCAUCCUGUGGGUUUUAGGCGCUACUCUUCACUGGGUGGUGUCUAUAUCUCACUCUUUUACUUUGAAAAAAUUAGAGUGUUCAAAGCAGGCUCGCGCUCUGAAUACAUUAGCAUGGAAUAAUAAUUUAGGACUUCUGUUCUAUUUUGUUGGUUUCUAGGAUGGAAGUAAUGAUUGAUAGGGAUAGUUGGGGGUGCUAGUAUUCAGCGGCCAGAGGUGAAAUUCUUGGAUUCGCUGAAGACUAACUUAUGCGAAAGCAUU
This 320-nucleotide ribosomal RNA is filed under the name Cercomonas sp. RNAcentral's name for it is "SSU rRNA". The stretch from base 107 to 320 matches the Rfam family "Eukaryotic small subunit ribosomal RNA", at positions 740 to 955 of the family's 1831-position model. The record is from RNAcentral. Lineage: Eukaryota; Cercozoa; Cercomonadida; Cercomonadidae.